CAAUGAACCAGCCUAUUUAAAGCUGUGAUGUUGCACUGGUUCAUCAGUGCUUGCCGCCCUGCUGCUAGUCUGCAAACUAGUCUGCUAACUAGUUUGCUAAGAGUAUUAGCUGAUAUCAAGCUACGCUGCCAGGAGUCUUAUCAGCUUCAACCACUUCAAACUGGAAGUCACGUUAGCCUGGCAACACUUCCCAAGGCUGUUCUCCAAAAUGCUAGACUGGUUGCUUCACCUCAAAACUUCUGACGAAGGAGCUGUACAACUGACAGAUCUGUGACAGUUUUCAUAUUUUCACAGCAGAGGAUGUCCCGCAGGUGGCGUCCUCUGUUCCCAUGGGACUGCAGCUCAUUGCACAGCAGGUCACACGGGGUGACACGAUGCAGGCCGAAC
This is a long non-coding RNA of Monopterus albus (swamp eel), 387 nucleotides long. RefSeq lists it as uncharacterized. The record is from RefSeq and is a predicted model, not a curated record. The transcript has 4 exons. NCBI's taxonomy places the organism in Eukaryota, Metazoa, Chordata, Actinopteri, Synbranchiformes, Synbranchidae.